GACGAACGCUGGCGGCGCGCCUAACACAUGCAAGUCGAACGGGAUCUAAUUGGAGCUUGCUCCGGGUAGAUCCAGUGGCGGACGGGUGAGUAACACGUGAGCAACCUGCCUUACAGAGGGGGAUAACGUCUGGAAACGGACGCUAAUACCGCAUAACAUCUUGGGAUGGCAUCAUCCUGGGAUCAAAGGAGCAAUCCGCUGGAAGAUGGGCUCGCGCCCGAUUAGAUAGUUGGUGGGGUAAUGGCCCACCAAGUCUGCGAUCGGUAGCCGGACUGAGAGGUUGAUCGGCCACAUUGGGACUGAGACACGGCCCAGACUCCUACGGGAGGCAGCAGUGGGGAAUAUUGCACAAUGGGGGAAACCCUGAUGCAGCGACGCCGCGUGAGUGAAGACGGUCUUCGGAUUGUAAAGCUCUGUCUUCGGGGACGAUAAUGACGGUACCCGAGGAGGAAGCCACGGCUAACUACGUGCCAGCCGCCGCCGUAACAC
This 489-nucleotide ribosomal RNA is filed under the name uncultured bacterium. RNAcentral describes it as "bacterial SSU rRNA". It matches the Rfam family "Bacterial small subunit ribosomal RNA", at positions 28 to 526 of the family's 1533-position model. The record is from RNAcentral.